This 393-nucleotide ribosomal RNA is filed under the name uncultured bacterium. RNAcentral's name for it is "bacterial SSU rRNA". It matches the Rfam family "Bacterial small subunit ribosomal RNA", at positions 28 to 417 of the family's 1533-position model. The record is from RNAcentral.
GAUGAACGCUGGCGGCAGGCCUAACACAUGCAAGUCGAACGGUAGCACAGGAGAGCUUGCUCUCUGGGUGACGAGUGGCGGACGGGUGAGUAAUGCAUGGGGAGCUGCCCAAUCGAGGGGGAUACCAGCUGGAAACGGCUGCUAAUACCGCAUACGCCCUGAGGGGGAAAGGUGGGGACCUUCGGGCCUACCGCGAUUGGAUGCACCCAUGUGGGAUUAGCUAGUUGGUGAGGUAACGGCUCACCAAGGCGACGAUCUCUAGCUGGUCUGAGAGGAUGACCAGCCACACUGGGACUGAGACACGGUCCAGACUCCUACGGGAGGCAGCAGUGGGGAAUAUUGCACAAUGGGGGAAACCCUGAUGCAGCCAUGCCGCGUGUGUGAAGAAGGCCU